Molecule: ribosomal RNA, 432 nt
Filed under: uncultured bacterium
Lineage: Bacteria
Description: partial 16S ribosomal RNA
Rfam family: Bacterial small subunit ribosomal RNA
Source: RNAcentral
AACGAACGCUGGCGGCAUGCCUAACACAUGCAAGUCGAACGAGACCUUCGGGUCUAGUGGCGCACGGGUGCGUAACGCGUGGGAACCUGCCCUUAGGUUCGGAAUAACUCCCCGAAAGGGGUGCUAAUACCGGAUAAUGUCUUCGGACCAAAGAUUUAUCGCCUUUGGAUGGGCCCGCGUUGGAUUAGCUAGUUGGUAGGGUAAAAGCCUACCAAGGCGACGAUCCAUAGCUGGUCUGAGAGGAUGAUCAGCCACACUGGGACUGAGACACGGCCCAGACUCCUCCGGGAGGCAGCAGUGGGGAAUAUUGGACAAUGGGCGAAAGCCUGAUCCAGCAAUGCCGCGUGAGUGAUGAAGGCCUUGGGUUGUAAAGCUCUUUUACCCGGGAUGAUAAUGACAGUACCGGGAGAAUAAGCUCCGGCUAACUCCGUG